UAUGGAAGUCCAGGGCUCCUCGAAGAAGAUGAUAGCGACGCAGGCUGAGAUGGUUGAGGCUAGGGUUCCAAUUCCUUACAGAGAUCAGUGCGCUCACUUGUUGAUCCCUCUUAAUAAAUGCCGCCAAUCCGAGUUCUACCUCCCAUGGAAAUGCGAAGACGAGCGCCAUUCCUACGAGAAGUGUGAAUAUGAGCUCGUUAUGGAGAGGAUG
Molecule: unclassified non-coding RNA, 211 nt
Filed under: Hevea brasiliensis (rubber tree)
Lineage: Eukaryota; Viridiplantae; Streptophyta; Magnoliopsida; Malpighiales; Euphorbiaceae
Source: RNAcentral